UAAUACGUAGGCAGCGAGCGUUGUUCGGAAUUACUGGGCGUAAAGAGUGUGUAGGCGGUGCUCUAAGUCUGGUGUGAAAUCUCCCGGCUCAACUGGGAGGGUGCGCCGGAAACUGGAGUGCUUGAGGGUGGGAGAGGUAAGCGGAAUUCCUGGUGUAGCGGUGAAAUGCGUAGAUAUCAGGAGGAACACCUGUGGUGUAGACAGCUUACUGGACCACUUCUGACGCUGAGACACGAAAGCGUGGGUAGCAAACAGGAUUAGAUACCCUGGUAGUCCACGCCCUAAACGAUGCAUACUUGGUGUGAGCCAUUCAUUUGGUUCGUGCCGGAGCUAACGCGUUAAGUAUGCCGCCUGGGGAGUACGGUCGCAAGGCUG
RNAcentral lists this ribosomal RNA (375 nucleotides) under uncultured bacterium. RNAcentral's name for it is "bacterial SSU rRNA". It matches the Rfam family "Bacterial small subunit ribosomal RNA", at positions 521 to 896 of the family's 1533-position model. The record is from RNAcentral.